Long non-coding RNA from Eurytemora carolleeae, 471 nucleotides. RefSeq lists it as uncharacterized. Lineage: Eukaryota; Metazoa; Arthropoda; Copepoda; Calanoida; Temoridae. The record is from RefSeq and is a predicted model, not a curated record. The transcript has 2 exons.
CUGUGGUGUUUUUAGUGGCGGAAGUAGUUCUCAACGUAAACUUUGUUUUAAACUCCUCGUACCUUGAAUGGGAGGUAGCUGAAGCUGGGGAGCUUUCCUAGUUGUUGCUGGAAUAAUUUCACUAUGCUAAGCACUUUUAACAUAUAAGAAUUAUUACUCUAACUGCUCUAAAAAGUGGUGCAAAGAACGCAAUUGUUCUUGGACUAGAGAAGGAGAUCAUCAGACCCCAGGUUGUAGGCGAUCAAUGUCAUCCUGUAGUCCCCGAUGAAGAGUUGAUUUCAGUGAGAACCAAAUCGGAUGUUUCUAUCUUCGGCCUUGGAUACGAUGCUCAAAACAAGUGGACUUAUUCUGGCAAAAAGGCAACCCCCAUGUACCAAAGGAAACCAGUUGAAACCAAGAUGUCGUAGACUUCAAUAGUAUUAAUAUUUGUAGUCAAUUUUAUAACCAAAAUAUACCGUCAUUUACCAUCGA